This is a long non-coding RNA of Arabidopsis thaliana (thale cress), 595 nucleotides long. RefSeq annotates it as other RNA. The record is from RefSeq. The transcript has a single exon. Lineage: Eukaryota; Viridiplantae; Streptophyta; Magnoliopsida; Brassicales; Brassicaceae.
CCGGAGAUUCAUCCGCCGGAUCGGAGGUGUCAAAGCUCUUCGCAACACCUCUCUGCUUCCGUCACUCGCCUUCCGCAUAAGCCUCUCAUCGCUUGGCACCACAAACCCGUGCCGUGCACACUUCGUUGAACCAGGCCGUCCUGAGCAAGUGCAAGCUACCCGAACCCUCAGACCUGACCCGUGGCUCCUCCGUCUGAUCCGGUUGGUCUCGGAUCUUCCUGGCAUCUCUACGCCUUCACCAGAUGGGAUCCUUCUCGAAACCUGCAUAAGUAACUGACGUGUAUCUCUUGCUAAGAAUUUUGCAAGAAACGUUUCUUUAUAAACUAGCUGUGAGAGAGAGUCAAGGGAGUCUUCUUUCUCUAUAUUAAAGAAACACAAGAGAACAAGACCACUGACUUGGUUACAUGUUUUUGUAAUGGAGCGGUUGGUCUAAUUUUCAAAUUCUGAAUGCUCUAUUUGUCAAAGUUUGAAUGUUUGACCAAUUCCAAGUUCACCAACAGGUCAACGGAGAAACUUUAGAAGAAACAAAAUGAGAAAAUUCAAUGCAAACAUGCUUUCUGCCAAAUUCAACUUAUUUAAUCAUUUUACCAGCUUA